RNAcentral lists this ribosomal RNA (1498 nucleotides) under metagenome. RNAcentral describes it as "bacterial SSU rRNA". It matches the Rfam family "Bacterial small subunit ribosomal RNA". The record is from RNAcentral.
GAGUUUGAUCAUGGCUCAGAUUGAACGCUGGCGGCAGGCCUAACACAUGCAAGUCGAACGGUAACAGGAAGCAGCUUGCUGCUUCGCUGACGAGUGGCGGACGGGUGAGUAAUGUCUGGGAAGCUGCCUGAUGGAGGGGGAUAACUACUGGAAACGGUAGCUAAUACCGCAUAAUGUCGCAAGACCAAAGAGGGGGACCUUCGGGCCUCUUGCCAUCGGAUGUGCCCAGAUGGGAUCAGCUUGUUGGUGGGGUAACGGCUCACCAAGGCGACGAUCCCUAGCUGGUCUGAGAGGAUGACCAGCCACACUGGAACUGAGACACGGUCCAGACUCCUACGGGAGGCAGCAGUGGGGAAUAUUGCACAAUGGGCGCAAGCCUGAUGCAGCCAUGCCGCGUGUAUGAAGAAGGCCUUCGGGUUGUAAAGUACUUUCAGCGGGGAGGAAGGGAGUAAAGUUAAUACCUUUGCUCAUUGACGUUACCCGCAGAAGAAGCACCGGCUAACUCCGUGCCAGCAGCCGCGGUAAUACGGAGGGUGCAAGCGUUAAUCGGAAUUACUGGGCGUAAAGCGCACGCAGGCGGUUUGUUAAGUCAGAUGUGAAAUCCCCGGGCUCAACCUGGGAACUGCAUCUGAUACUGGCAAGCUUGAGUCUCGUAGAGGGGGGUAGAAUUCCAGGUGUAGCGGUGAAAUGCGUAGAGAUCUGGAGGAAUACCGGUGGCGAAGGCGGCCCCCUGGACGAAGACUGACGCUCAGGUGCGAAAGCGUGGGGAGCAAACAGGAUUAGAUACCCUGGUAGUCCACGCCGUAAACGAUGUCGACUUGGAGGUUGUGCCCUUGAGGCGUGGCUUCCGGAGCUAACGCGUUAAGUCGACCGCCUGGGGAGUACGCCGCAAGGUUAAAACUCAAAUGAAUUGACGGGGGCCCGCACAAGCGGUGGAGCAUGUGGUUUAAUUCGAUGCAACGCGAAGAACCUUACCUGGUCUUGACAUCCACGGAAGUUUUCAGAGAUGAGAAUGUGCCUUCGGGAACCGUGAGACAGGUGCUGCAUGGCUGUCGUCAGCUCGUGUUGUGAAAUGUUGGGUUAAGUCCCGCAACGAGCGCAACCCUUAUCCUUUGUUGCCAGCGGUCCGGCCGGGAACUCAAAGGAGACUGCCAGUGAUAAACUGGAGGAAGGUGGGGAUGACGUCAAGUCAUCAUGGCCCUUACGACCAGGGCUACACACGUGCUACAAUGGCGCAUACAAAGAGAAGCGACCUCGCGAGAGCAAGCGGACCUCAUAAAGUGCGUCGUAGUCCGGAUUGGAGUCUGCAACUCGACUCCAUGAAGUCGGAAUCGCUAGUAAUCGUGGAUCAGAAUGCCACGGUGAAUACGUUCCCGGGCCUUGUACACACCGCCCGUCACACCAUGGGAGUGGGUUGCAAAAGAAGUAGGUAGCUUAACCUUCGGGAGGGCGCUUACCACUUUGUGAUUCAUGACUGGGGUGAAGUCGGAACAAGGUA